GCGGAGGGCUGGAUGACCGCGGCGGUGCGCCGUCGAGGAAAGUCCGGACUCCAUGAGGCGACGGUGCCGGGUAACGCCCGGCGGGGGCAACCCCAGGGAAAGCGCCACAGAGAACAGACCGCCCAUGUCCGCAUGGGCAAGGGUGAAACGGUGGGGUAAGAGCCCACCGGGGGCCUGGCAACAGGCCCCGCAUGGCAAGCCCCACCGGGAGCAAUGCCGAAUAGGGACCGCGCGCGGGGGCAACCCCGCAGGGCCGCCUUGCCCCAGCAGGUCCGGGUAGGCAGCUUGAUCCGGCGGGCAACCGCCGGGCCAGAGGAAUGGUCAUCCAGCCGCCAAUGGCGGUGGACAGAAUCCGGCUUACAGGCCCUCCGCGCAA
Molecule: RNase P RNA, 376 nt
Filed under: Paracoccus aerius
Lineage: Bacteria; Pseudomonadati; Pseudomonadota; Alphaproteobacteria; Rhodobacterales; Paracoccaceae
Also listed under: 1 other name
Description: RNase P RNA component class A
Rfam family: Bacterial RNase P class A
About the family: Ribonuclease P (RNase P) is a ubiquitous endoribonuclease, found in archaea, bacteria and eukarya as well as chloroplasts and mitochondria. Its best characterised activity is the generation of mature 5'-ends of tRNAs by cleaving the 5'-leader elements of precursor-tRNAs. Cellular RNase Ps are ribonucleoproteins.
Source: RNAcentral